Molecule: long non-coding RNA, 839 nt
Filed under: Struthio camelus australis
Lineage: Eukaryota; Metazoa; Chordata; Aves; Struthioniformes; Struthionidae
Description: lncRNA (ENSSCUG00000007687.1)
Source: RNAcentral
GUCCGGGAAGCCGGCAGCCGGCAGGCGAGGGCGGCGGCUGGGGCGGCAGGACCCCAGCGGCCAUUACGCGGCCGGGGCCUGGUGCUGCUCGCGCGCCCCCGCUGCCAGGCGGCGAAACGCGGGUGAUUCCUGCCAAAAAACGUGUGGUGCCCGGCGUACCACCCCCGACUGCGAGCUGAAAACGUGCCCGACCUCAGGGUAUAUUUUUUUUCAAACUAACUCCGCCUGUCCUUUAUUCCAGUAGAACUGAGGAGCAGGAUGGUGGAGGAGGGUGACAGGCAGAGAGUGACAGCAUCAGGAAGAGAGCACUAUAAAUAAAAAUGGCACUGAAUGGUUAGAUCCAAUUCUAAAAGAUUAUAAAAUUUGGACUAAAAUGAAGGAGUUUCUCCAAUGCAAUUGAAAACACCUUUACAAAUAGUUGCACUAGGUGCAGACUUACAAAAGGGUAACCGCUGACGCUGCUGUGAAGUAGCACUGAGGCGCUCCUGCUAUUUUUGGAGAUGUGCCUUGACUUGUUUUAUGUACCACGGGUCUCAGAAGAUGAAGAUGAAGAUCACUAUUUCAGACAAUGAAGAAAUCUCAUUGCCUUACAGAAGGCUUUUAAGCUAUCUGAAAGAAAACGUCAUUCUCACAUCCAGAGAGAGCGUCAACAAAGUCUACAGCCAGCCGAUUUCGACUCACGCUCGCUCUCGGCGCGGUCUGCGAGAAGGGACAGUAGCGCACGUGUCACCGCAAAAUUCACAGCGCUUUGAGAGCUACGGCAAGAAACAGCCACCUGCAAAAUCCAGCCGGGCUUCUUCCAAACCUCAGCUGUCCUGAGCUGCUGCGCGAUACCCCCG